Mesocricetus auratus (golden hamster) is the source of this 736-nucleotide long non-coding RNA. RefSeq lists it as uncharacterized. The transcript has 2 exons. NCBI's taxonomy places the organism in Eukaryota, Metazoa, Chordata, Mammalia, Rodentia, Cricetidae. The record is from RefSeq and is a predicted model, not a curated record.
GAGUGCUGGACAACCUUCCCUGCAACCAAAACAGACAGCGGUGAGUGACCAUUGUGGGUGACAGGUGGGAGAAUCUAGGGGGACACCACUGCUUGGGAGGCUGAAAAUCUCUGGAAAGGGUGAGGGCCAGAAGAAGGAAUGCAGCAAACAUCAGUGCAAGGCGGUCUUGGUGACGGGUGGCCAAGACGAAGGAGCAGAGCCAACUAAAAGAAGGUACUGGACCACCAAGAUGGCUCCUCAGGCAGCCUAGACUGGCAUUGAACUUGCAAUCCUCCUGCUUCAACCUCCUGAGUCCUGAUACUACAGGCUUGAACUACCACACCACUCUUUGAAUCAACUCUUAACUGAAGUCAUUCUUGGAUAACAGUCGCUACUUCAUAAAGCCUGCUUUUGUCAAUAUCAGGCCAGAGCUGUUGGUUAUACAGUGAGGAAAAGGAAGGAUAUUCAAGAUGGCUUCCCUCGAACAGGAUCCGGGCUCUUCUGGCCAGAAGAAGUUAGCUGCAGUCCUGCUUUGCCAUUCUACACCAUAUUCCCUUUCAACAAGGUCUCUCACUGUCGUAGGGAUUCUAUGCUUUGAAGAGAUAUCAUGACCACAGAAACUCUAAUCAAGGGAAACAUUUUUUGUUUGUUCGUUUUUUCAAGAUAGGGUUUCUCUGUGUAACAACCCUAGCUGUUCUGGAACUCGCUGUAGACACCUAAUAAACUCAUUGGUUCCUCAGAGUGAACUCUGGUGGAA